GCUGUGGCUCAGUGGUAAAACCUCUGCUUUGCAUGCAGAAGAUGCCAGGUUCUAUUCCUAGCAUAUCCU
This 69-nucleotide transfer RNA is filed under the name Sphaerodactylus townsendi. RNAcentral's name for it is "tRNA-Ala". The record is from RNAcentral. Lineage: Eukaryota; Metazoa; Chordata; Lepidosauria; Squamata; Sphaerodactylidae.